CCCCUGGUAACUUCCUGUUCUAUUGCUCGAGGCCCUGGGGGACUGGACGCCAGCUGCCCAGUGUGGCUCCUCCCCAUCCCCGGAUGAAGAGGGACAUCCCUUGAGCGCUUGUUACUGCACAAAGUGGGGGUUUCUUGCCUGAUGAGCAUAAGGAGCCAAUUAUGACGGCAUCAGCCUUUGAGAAAAGAAAACAGCUUUAUUGUGAGAUCCAUCAGUAAGGAGACAGGAGGCAUUUGCUCUCAGAUCCAGGGCUUGGAUCCAGGGCUUGGGGCACAAUUUAUGGGAUGACAGGCAGGGCGGUCUGAAGCAUGGAGAUGGAUGAUUGGAGUGAGUUACUUGGGAGAUUGAAGAAACAAGAAAAACAUUUAUUUUAAAGCUGAGCGUCACAGGUCGGGCUCCCUGCUUGGAAACUGAAUGAGGCCAGGUGUCCCUCUAUUUCUUGUUUGCUUGCAUUGAAGGAAACCGGUUGCCAUGCUAUGAGCUGCCCGAUGGAAAGGCCCACAUGGAAGGAACUGAAGUCUUCUGGCUCAAAGUCACUGAGGAACUGAGGCCCUCAGUGCAAAGGCCCUCAAGGUAUUGAGUUCUGCCAACAGUCAUACGAGUAAGACUGGAAGUGGAUCUUCCCGCAGUCAGGCCAUCAGGUGAGACCGCAUUCCUGGCUGACACUCUGACUGCAGCCAUGAGACACGUGGAGCCAGAGGCACCUGGCCAAACUGCAGCUGGAUUCCUGACCCACAGAAGACCCACACAAUAAAUGUUUCUUGUUUUAAGUAGUUAAGUUUUUUGUAAUUUAUUAUGCAGCAAUAGAUAACUAGUACAUCACAGGUAGUAUAGCUGGUGAUGAUGUUAGGAUAGUAGGAGCAUCAGUUUGUCUCUGUAGUCAACAGGCUUGGUGCUUGGACAAGUCAUAUCACCUUUACCUGGUUGAUGUGGGUAAGUCAGUCCUGGCCAUGCCUUCUUUGCUAGUCAUCUGUAGGAAUAAGAUGGAGAUGGGGCGGGUCCUGUAGUGAGUUCUGCUUCAAAUUGCUGGCAGGCCCAUGAAGUGUGUGGACAUAUCUGUCACCUCAUUUGAAUCCUUACAAAACCCUAUGAGGUGGUGUGGUGUUCUCCAUUUUUAAAGAGGAGACACAGAGGCUUGGAGAGGCUAAGUAACUUUCUCAAGGUAAUAGAAUUAGGAAGUGCUGGAGUUGAGACAGAUGCCGAGCCCCAUGCUCUAAGGGACUAUCUCAGAAGGGAUCACCCACACCUGACUAUUGACAUUAUUACUAGUGCUCUCAGAAACAGUGAUAUUGUUUAGGUAAUCCAGUCUCACCGAAUCAGAUGGGGCAUCUUCUAAAAUAGACCAGAGGCAGGCAAGGAAAGG
RNAcentral lists this long non-coding RNA (1363 nucleotides) under Equus caballus (horse). RNAcentral describes it as "lncRNA (ENSECAG00000054658.1)". The record is from RNAcentral. Lineage: Eukaryota; Metazoa; Chordata; Mammalia; Perissodactyla; Equidae.